This 369-nucleotide ribosomal RNA is filed under the name uncultured bacterium. RNAcentral's name for it is "bacterial SSU rRNA". It matches the Rfam family "Bacterial small subunit ribosomal RNA", at positions 527 to 898 of the family's 1533-position model. The record is from RNAcentral.
GGAGGGUGCAAGCGUUAUCCGGAUUCACUGGGUUUAAAGGGUGCGUAGGCGGAAUUGUAAGUCCGUGGUGAAAUCUCCAAGCUUAACUUGGAAACUGCCGUGGAUACUAUAAUUCUUGAAUGUUGUGGAGGUUAGCGGAAUAUGUCAUGUAGCGGUGAAAUGCAUAGAUAUGACAUAGAACACCAAUUGCGAAGGCAGCUGGCUACACAAAUAUUGACGCUGAGGCACGAAAGCGUGGGGAUCAAACAGGAUUAGAUACCCUGGUAGUCCACGCCCUAAACGAUGAUUACUCGACAUUUGCGAUAUACAGUAAGUGUCUGAGCGAAAGCAUUAAGUAAUCCACCUGGGAAGUACGACCGCAAGGUUGAA